Molecule: ribosomal RNA, 795 nt
Filed under: uncultured bacterium
Lineage: Bacteria
Description: bacterial SSU rRNA
Rfam family: Bacterial small subunit ribosomal RNA
Source: RNAcentral
AGAGUUUGAUCAUGGCUCAGAUUGAACGCUGGCGGCAUGCUUUACACAUGCAAGUCGAACGGCAGCACGGGGGCAACCCUGGUGGCGAGUGGCGAACGGGUGAGUAACACAUCGGAACGUGUCCUGUUGUGGGGGGAUAACCCACCGAAAGGUGAGCUAAUACCGCAUGACCUCGGGAGAGAAAAGCAGGGGACCUGCAAGGGCCUUGCGCGAUUGGAGCGGCCGAUGUCCGAUUAGCUAGUUGGUAGGGUAAAGGCCUACCAAGGCGACGAUCGGUAGCUGGUCUGAGAGGAUGAUCAGCCACACUGGGACUGAGACACGGCCCAGACUCCUACGGGAGGCAGCAGUGGGGAAUUUUGGACAAUGGGGGCAACCCUGAUCCAGCCAUGCCGCGUGAGUGAAGAAGGCCUUCGGGUUGUAAAGCUCUUUCGGUGGGAACGAAACGGUGGAUGCUAAUACUAUCCACUACUGACGGUACCUACAGAAGAAGCACCGGCUAACUACGUGCCAGCAGCCGCGGUAAUACGUAGGGUGCGAGCGUUAAUCGGAAUUACUGGGCGUAAAGCGUGCGCAGGCGGUUUGCUAAGACAGGUGUGAAAGCCCCGGGCUUAACCUGGGAAUUGCGCUUGUGACUGGCAGACUGGAGUGUGGCAGAGGGAGGUGGAAUUCCCGUGUAGCAGUGAAAUGCGUAGAGAUGUGGAGGAACACCGAUGGCGAAGGCAGCCUCCUGGGCCAGCACUGACGCUCAUGCACGAAAGCGUGGGGAGCAAACAGGAUUAGAUACCCUAGUAGUCC